GACGAACGCUGGCGGCGUGCCUAACACACGCAAGUCGCACGGGCUUGGGGGGCAACUCUCAAGUUAGUGGCGAACGGGUGCGCAACACGUGAGCAACUUGCCCUACGGUGGGGGAUAGCCGGUCUAACGGCCGGGUAAUACCGCAUAUGGCGCCGGGGUCGCAUGACCUUGGUGGGAAAGCGGCCGCAAGGUCGCGCCGGAGGUGGGGCUCGCGGCGUAUCAGCUAGUUGGCGGGGUAAUGGCCCACCAAGGCUACGACGCGUAGCUGGUCUGAGAGGAUGGCCAGCCACAUUGGGACUGAGAUACGGCCCAGACUCCUACGGGAGGCAGCAGUGGGGAAUAUUGCGCAAUGGCCGAAAGGCUGACGCAGCGACGCCGCGUGUGGGAUGAAGGCCUUCGGGUUGUAAACCACUGUCGGGGGGGACGAAUACCUGGCUUCGAAUAGGAGACCAGGGGUGACGGUACCUCCAAAGGAAGCACCGGCUAACUCCGUGCCAGCAGCCGCGGUAAUACGGAGGGUGCGAGCGUUGUCCGGAAUCACUGGGCGUAAAGGGCGCGUAGGCGGCCGUGUAAGUCACUUGUGAAAUCCCGGGGCUCAACUCCGGGGCUGCAGGUGAGACUGCAUGGCUAGAGCUCGGUAGAGGCGAGUGGAAUUCCCGGUGUAGCGGUGGAAUGCGUAGAUAUCGGGAAGAACACCGGUGGCGAAGGCGGCUCGCUGGGCCGAUGCUGACGCUGAGGCGCGAAAGCGUGGGGAGCAAACAGGAUUAGAUACCCUGGUAGCCCACGCCGUAAACGAUGGGUACUAGGCGUCAGGGGGANCGACCCCCGUUGGUGCCGUCGCUAACGCAGUAAGUACCCGGCCUGGGGAGUACGGUCGCAAAGUGAAACUCAAAGGAAUUGACGGGGGCCGCACAACCGGUGGGAACAUGUGGUUUAAU
Molecule: ribosomal RNA, 938 nt
Filed under: uncultured bacterium
Lineage: Bacteria
Description: bacterial SSU rRNA
Rfam family: Bacterial small subunit ribosomal RNA
Source: RNAcentral